Molecule: unclassified non-coding RNA, 307 nt
Filed under: plant metagenome
Description: partial contains 5.8S ribosomal RNA, internal transcribed spacer 2, and large subunit ribosomal RNA
Rfam family: 5.8S ribosomal RNA (bases 1-105)
Source: RNAcentral
GAAAUGCGAUAAGUAGUGUGAAUUGCAGAAUUCAGUGAAUCAUCGAAUCUUUGAACGCACAUUGCGCCCCUCGGUAUUCCGUGGGGCAUGCCUGUUCGAGCGUCAUCUACACCCUCAAGCUCUGCUUGGUGUUGGGCGUCUGUCACGCCUCCGCGCGCGGACUCGCCCCAAAUGCAUUGGCAGCGGUUCCUUGCCCCCCUCUUUGCGCAGCACAUUGCCAUUCGAGGCGGCGGCGGCCCGCGUCCAACAAGCUCAACCCCCCCGUCUUUGACCUCGGAUCAGGUAGGGAUACCCGCUGAACUUAAGC